GCCUAACACAUGCAAGUCGAACGAAGCCUUCGGGCUUAGUGGCGGACGGGUGAGUAACACGUUAGUACCUGCCCUUUAGUGGGGAAUAACUCGGCGAAAGUCGGGCUAAUACCGCAUACGAUCCUUCGGGAUGAAAGCAUUUAUGCGCUAAAGGAGGGGCUUGCGUCUGAUUAGCUAGUUGGUAGGGUAAUGGCCUACCAAGGCAAUGAUCAGUAGCUGGUUCGAGAGGAUGACCAGCCACACUGGGACUGAGAUACGGCCCAGACUCCUACGGGAGGCAGCAGUGAGGAAUCUUCCGCAAUGGACGAAAGUCUGACGGAGCAACACCGCGUGCAGGAUGACGGCCUUCGGGUUGUAAACUGCUUUUAUUUGGGAAGAUUAUGACGGUACCAAAUGAAUAAGGACCGGCUAACUACGUGCCAGCAGCCGCGGUAAUACGUAGGGUCCAAGCGUUAUCCGGAAUCACUGGGCGUAAAGCGUGCGUAGGUGGUAAUUUGCGUGCAGUGCGAAAUUGUGUGGCUCAACCAUACAACGGUACUGCAUACGGGAUUACUAGAGGACAUGAGAGGCAAGUGGAAUUACUGGUGUAGCAGUGAAAUGCGUAGAUAUCAGUAGGAACACCAAUGGCGAAGGCAGCUUGCUGGCAUGUAUCUGACGCUAAGGCACGAAAGCGUGGGGAGCGAACAGGAUUAGAUACCCUGGUAGUCCACGCCGUAAACGAUGCAUAUUAUUAGUAUGGAGUAUCGACCCUCUGUGCUGAGAAGCUAACGCGUUAAAUAUGCCGCCUGGGGAGUACGAGCGCAAGCUUAAAACUCAAAAGGAAUUGACGGGGCUCCGCACAAGCAGUGGAUCAUGUGGUUUAAUUCGAAGCUACGCGUAGAACCUUACCGAGGCUUGACAUCCCGAUCGUAGACCUAAGAAACUAGGUCGUCAGUUCGGCUGGAUCGGUGACAGGUGCUGCAUGGCCGUCGUCAGCUCGUGUCGUGAGAUGUUGGGUUAAGUCCCGCAACGAGCGCAACCCUUGUCGUGUGUUGUAUUUUUCACGCGCGACCGCCCGGGCCAACCGGGAGGAAGGUGGGGAUGACGUCAGGUCAGCAUGGCCCUUACGCCUCGGGCUACACACGUGAUACAAUGGCCGGUACAACGGGUCGCUAAGUCGCAAGACGGAGCUAAUCCCAUCAAAACCGGUCCCAGUUCGGAUUGCAGGCUGCAACCCGCCUGCAUGAAGUUGGAAUUGCUAGUAACCGUGGGUCAGCACACCACGGUGAAUACGUUCCCGGAGCUUGUACACACCGCCCGUCACACCACGAAAGUUGGGGGUGCCCGACGUGCCUAUUUUCUAGGCCCUAAGGCAAAUCCAGUAAUUGGGGUGAAGUCGUAACAAGGUAUCCGUAGCGGAAGCUGCGGCUGGAUCACCUCCU
This 1421-nucleotide ribosomal RNA is filed under the name uncultured bacterium. RNAcentral describes it as "bacterial SSU rRNA". It matches the Rfam family "Bacterial small subunit ribosomal RNA". The record is from RNAcentral.